CGACGUGUAGCUCAGUCAGGAGAGCGUCCGGCUCAUAACCGGGAGGUCGCGGGGGCAGGGCCCGCCACGUCGA
This 73-nucleotide transfer RNA is filed under the name Nocardiopsis flavescens. RNAcentral describes it as "Nocardiopsis sp. SA6 tRNA". It matches the Rfam family "tRNA". From Rfam's summary of the family: Transfer RNA (tRNA) molecules are approximately 80 nucleotides in length. Their secondary structure includes four short double-helical elements and three loops (D, anti-codon, and T loops). RNAcentral also lists the same sequence under 4 other names. The record is from Rfam by way of RNAcentral. Lineage: Bacteria; Bacillati; Actinomycetota; Actinomycetes; Streptosporangiales; Nocardiopsidaceae.